GCCCCCGUAGCGCAAUGGUAGCGCGUAAGACUGUAUGUGCACACAUUCAUUCUCCAUAUUAAAGCCCCUCAACUAACAAUUCAACAGUCUAGCUUCUUAAGCGAUCUUAAGGUUGCGAGUUCGAGCCUCGCCGGGGGCU
This 139-nucleotide transfer RNA is filed under the name Aspergillus bombycis. It matches the Rfam family "tRNA". From Rfam's summary of the family: Transfer RNA (tRNA) molecules are approximately 80 nucleotides in length. Their secondary structure includes four short double-helical elements and three loops (D, anti-codon, and T loops). The record is from Rfam by way of RNAcentral. Lineage: Eukaryota; Fungi; Ascomycota; Eurotiomycetes; Eurotiales; Aspergillaceae.